GUAAUAACAGAAAUGUUUAGUAAUAUAGUAUAGUUAGAAGGGUAUUAUUGUAAUUAGGAUAUAUGGCUAUAUAAAGGAUUAUGUAGCUAGUAUUUCAUUAAGUUCAUUUGUAUACAUUUUCUCAAUUCAUUCAAUACAAUCUCUCUGAUUUCUCUUUAACAAUUCUUUCCCUUUCUUUGUACCAAUUUCAUCUUCAACAAUGUAGUUAACAUGGUAUCAGAGCCACCAAGGCUCACGCCAUGGAUCUUGGUGGUUGAUUUCCGCUUCUAUCUUUCUUCAUUACUUUCUUUCAUUUCCGCAUAUUCAUAGUUCUUAAUUUUUGUUUGGUCUCUGGAUUUUUCCGCCGAGGGUUUUCUGUUUAGUUUUUGGGAUUUUUUUUUUCCCUCUGAGUUUCAAGCUGCACAAAUUCCGACAGGAAGAGGGCUGAAAUUCGUGGGGGUUAGGGUUUUCAUGAAGAUCUGCAUAGUUUCAGAAAUUGGUUUCUUGGAGUGUCAUUCUCCUUCGUAGAUUUAGUUUCUUGGAGUGUCAUUCUCCUUGGUACAGUUCAGCAGCAACAUACAUUUCAGUAAGCUUCAUGGGUUGAUCAAUUGAGCUCUCAAGGAUAAAAGCAUGCCUGUAUGGUUCUCCAAAAGUGAUUUCAGGGCUUCUGUUGGCUUAGAACUGGAUCGAUCUCUCAGUCACAUGGUCCUCCUACCACAUCCCAGGCUUCAUCACAAUCUUUGUCAUGCAUUCACAGCGUCUUGCGGUUUCAGAUCAGUUUCAGCUCAGUUUCAGAGUUCAAGCUCGUUCAAACUUCACUUGGCUACACCACGUUCAGUUUGAGGGGGGAGUAAUAACAGAAAUGUUUAGUAAUAUAGUAUAGUUAGAAGGGUAUUAUUGUAAUUAGGAUAUAUGGCUAUAUAAAGGAUUAUGUAGCUAGUAUUUCAUUAAGUUCAUUUGUAUACAUUUUCUCAAUUCAUUCAAUACAAUCUCUCUGAUUUCUCUUUAACAAUUCUUUCCCUUUCUUUGUACCAAUUUCAUCUUCAACAAUGUAGUUAACAAAAAGAACCGUUAAAUCGUGAUUUUUUGUUUUAUAACCGUUGAAAAGUUUUGUCUCAUUACUUGAUAUGUGAAUGUUUGUUUUUUGUGAUUUUUGGCAUAUGCGAUCUCGAAGCAUAUACAAACAAGUUUGACGGUUUGAUCGUUGAAGUUAGUUUCGUGUAUCCCAUCAAGUUCAAUGGUGUGUAUAUUAUA
Molecule: long non-coding RNA, 1233 nt
Filed under: Malus domestica (apple)
Lineage: Eukaryota; Viridiplantae; Streptophyta; Magnoliopsida; Rosales; Rosaceae
Description: long non-coding RNA (MDOM_LNC016153)
Source: RNAcentral